RNAcentral lists this ribosomal RNA (253 nucleotides) under uncultured bacterium. RNAcentral's name for it is "partial 16S ribosomal RNA". It matches the Rfam family "Bacterial small subunit ribosomal RNA", at positions 524 to 776 of the family's 1533-position model. The record is from RNAcentral.
UACGAAGGGGGCUAGCGUUGCUCGGAAUCACUGGGCGUAAAGGGUGCGUAGGCGGGUCUUUAAGUCAGAGGUGAAAUCCUGGAGCUCAACUCCAGAACUGCCUUUGAUACUGAAGAUCUUGAGUUCGGGAGAGGUGAGUGGAACUGCGAGUGUAGAGGUGAAAUUCGUAGAUAUUCGCAAGAACACCAGUGGCGAAGGCGGCUCACUGGCCCGAUACUGACGCUGAGGUGCGAAAGCGUGGGGAGCAAACAGG